Molecule: transfer RNA, 72 nt
Filed under: Thermoplasmata archaeon
Lineage: Archaea; Methanobacteriati; Thermoplasmatota; Thermoplasmata
Also listed under: 1 other name
Description: tRNA-Lys
Rfam family: tRNA
About the family: Transfer RNA (tRNA) molecules are approximately 80 nucleotides in length. Their secondary structure includes four short double-helical elements and three loops (D, anti-codon, and T loops). Further hydrogen bonds mediate the characteristic L-shaped molecular structure. tRNAs have two regions of fundamental functional importance: the anti-codon, which is responsible for specific mRNA codon recognition, and the 3' end, to which the tRNAs corresponding amino acid is attached (by aminoacyl-tRNA synthetases). tRNAs cope with the degeneracy of the genetic code in two manners: having more than one tRNA (with a specific anti-codon) for a particular amino acid; and 'wobble' base-pairing, i.e. permitting non-standard base-pairing at the 3rd anti-codon position.
Source: RNAcentral
GGGGCCGAAGCAUAGGAGGAGAUGCACGGGGCUCUUAACCCUGAGAACAGAGUUCGAAUCUCUGCGGCCUCA